AGUGAACGCUGGCGGUAGGCCUAACACAUGCAAGUCGAACGGCAGCACAGUAAGAGCUUGCUCUUACGGGUGGCGAGUGGCGGACGGGUGAGGAAUACAUCGGAAUCUACUUUUUCGUGGGGGGUAACGUAGGGAAACUUACGCUAAUACCGCAUACGACCUACGGGUGAAAGCAGGGGAUCUUCGGACCUUGCGCGAUUGAAUGAGCCGAUGUCGGAUUAGCUAGUUGGCGGGGUAAAGGCCCACCAAGGCGACGAUCCGUAGCUGGUCUGAGAGGAUGAUCAGCCACACUGGAACUGAGACACGGUCCAGACUCCUACGGGAGGCAGCAGUGGGGAAUAUUGGACAAUGGGCGCAAGCCUGAUCCAGCCAUACCGCGUGGGUGAAGAAGGCCUUCGGGUUGUAAAGCCCUUUUGUUGGGAAGGAAAAGCAGCAGGUUAAUACCCCGCUGUUCUGACGGUACCCAAAGAAUAAGCACCGGCUAACUUCGUG
Molecule: ribosomal RNA, 492 nt
Filed under: uncultured bacterium
Lineage: Bacteria
Description: partial 16S ribosomal RNA
Rfam family: Bacterial small subunit ribosomal RNA
Source: RNAcentral